GAUGAACGCUGGCGGCGUGCCUAAUACAUGCAAGUCGAGCGAACAGACGAGGAGCUUGCUCCUUCGACGUUAGCGGCGGACGGGUGAGUAACACGUGGAUAACCUACCUAUAAGACUGGGAUAACUUCGGGAAACCGGAGCUAAUACCGGAUAAUAUUUCGAACCGCAUGGUUCAAUAGUGAAAGAUGGCUUUGCUGUCACUUAUAGAUGGACCUGCGCCGUAUUAGCUAGUUGGUAAGGUAACGGCUUACCAAGGCAACGAUACGUAGCCGACCUGAGAGGGUGAUCGGCCACACUGGAACUGAGACACGGUCCAGACUCCUACGGGAGGCAGCAGUAGGGAAUCUUCCGCAAUGGGCGAAAGCCUGACGGAGCAACGCCGCGUGAGUGAUGAAGGUCUUCGGAUCGUAAAACUCUGUUAUUAGGGAAGAACAAACGUGUAAGUAACUGUGCACGUCUUGACGGUACCUAAUCAGAAAGCCACGGCUAACUACGUG
RNAcentral lists this ribosomal RNA (497 nucleotides) under uncultured bacterium. RNAcentral's name for it is "partial 16S ribosomal RNA". It matches the Rfam family "Bacterial small subunit ribosomal RNA", at positions 28 to 507 of the family's 1533-position model. The record is from RNAcentral.